CGGCGGCGUGCUAUACUGCAAGUCGAGCGAACAGAGAAGGAGCUUGCUCCUUCGACGUUAGCGGCGGACGGGUGAGUAACACGUGGGCAACCUACCUUAUAGUUUGGGAUAACUCCGGGAAACCGGGGCUAAUACCGAAUAAUCUGUUUCACCUCAUGGUGAAACACUGAAAGACGGUUUCGGCUGUCGCUAUAGGAUGGGCCCGCGGCGCAUUAGCUAGUUGGUGAGGUAACGGCUCACCAAGGCGACGAUGCGUAGCCGACCUGAGAGGGUGAUCGGCCACACUGGGACUGAGACACGGCCCAGACUCCUACGGGAGGCAGCAGUAGGGAAUCUUCCACAAUGGGCGAAAGCCUGAUGGAGCAACGCCGCGUGAGUGAAGAAGGAUUUCGGUUCGUAAAACUCUGUUGUAAGGGAAGAACAAGUACAGUAGUAACUGGCUGUACCUUGACGGUACCUUAUUAGAAAGCCACGGCUAACUACGUGCCAGCAGCCGCGGUAAUACGUAGGUGGCAAGCGUUGUCCGGAAUUAUUGGGCGUAAAGCGCGCGCAGGUGGUUUCUUAAGUCUGAUGUGAAAGCCCACGGCUCAACCGUGGAGGGUCAUUGGAAACUGGGAGACUUGAGUGCAGAAGAGGAUAGUGGAAUUCCAAGUGUAGCGGUGAAAUGCGUAGAGAUUUGGAGGAACACCAGUGGCGAAGGCGACUAUCUGGUCUGUAACUGACACUGAGGCGCGAAAGCGUGGGGAGCAACAGGAUUGAUACCCUGGUAGUCCACGCCGUAAAGAUGAGUGCUAGUGUUAGGGGGUUCCGCCCUUAGUGCUGCGCUAACCAUUAACACUCAGCUGGGGAGACGGUCGCAGACUGAAAUCAAGGAUUGACGGGGCCGCAAACCGUGGACAUGUGUUAAUCGAGCACCUAAAACUUACAGCCUGAAUCCGUAACAUGAAAGAAUGUUCCCUUCGGGCACGUAAGGGGGCCUG
RNAcentral lists this ribosomal RNA (980 nucleotides) under Lysinibacillus sp. RNAcentral's name for it is "bacterial SSU rRNA". It matches the Rfam family "Bacterial small subunit ribosomal RNA", at positions 37 to 1047 of the family's 1533-position model. Lineage: Bacteria; Bacillati; Bacillota; Bacilli; Caryophanales; Bacillaceae. The record is from RNAcentral.